UGCAUUCACUACUGUAAAUCGCUCUGGAUAAGAGCAUCUGCUAAAUGUCUAAAA
Non-coding RNA from Salmo salar (Atlantic salmon), 54 nucleotides. The record is from Rfam. Lineage: Eukaryota; Metazoa; Chordata; Actinopteri; Salmoniformes; Salmonidae.